RNAcentral lists this ribosomal RNA (244 nucleotides) under uncultured bacterium. RNAcentral's name for it is "partial 16S ribosomal RNA". It matches the Rfam family "Bacterial small subunit ribosomal RNA", at positions 533 to 776 of the family's 1533-position model. The record is from RNAcentral.
UGCAAGCUUUAAUCGGAUUUACUGGGCGUAAAGCGCGCGUAGGCGGCUAAUUAAGUCAACUGUGAAAUCCCCGAGCUUAACUUGGGAAUUGCAUUCGAUACUGGUUAGCUAGAGUGUGGGAGAGGAUGGUAGAAUUCCAGGUGUAGCGGUGAAAUGCGUAGAGAUCUGGAGGAAUACCGAUGGCGAAGGCAGCCAUCCGGCCUAACACUGACGCUGAGGUGCGAAAGCAUUGGGAGCAAACAGG